Molecule: small nuclear RNA, 102 nt
Organism: Hyaena hyaena (striped hyena)
Lineage: Eukaryota; Metazoa; Chordata; Mammalia; Carnivora; Hyaenidae
Source: RefSeq, a predicted model, not a curated record
GAGGCUGUACUGUGCUUCAUAUAGUAAUAUGAGAAUGAUACAGAAGAGAUCAACAUGAUCCCUGUGCAAAGAUGACAAAUUUAUGAAGCGUUCCACAUUUGG